This is an RNA transcript of Triticum aestivum (bread wheat), 731 nucleotides long. RefSeq lists it as uncharacterized. The transcript has 3 exons. Lineage: Eukaryota; Viridiplantae; Streptophyta; Magnoliopsida; Poales; Poaceae. The record is from RefSeq and is a predicted model, not a curated record.
CCCCACGAGGAUAAGAAUGCCACCCGAUUCCCCUCUGCCCAUGGACGAACCCUAGCCCCCCACUUCCCCCUUUCCCUCGAUCUCUCUCUUCUCCUCGCGUGAAACCGAUGCUGCCGUCGCCAUGGCCGCGACCACCGUGCUCCCCGCGCCGCGAGAAGACGCCCAGAAGGACUGCCAUGGUCCACUUCGUCCAUCACGAGGACCGAAUCGAGCGGGGAAGGCCCGUACACUCGCCAUCGCCACCAUCUUCAUCUUGUACAUCGCCGCGGCCUCGACGUCGAUCCGCAUCACCUCGUCCAUCCCGGCCUCGUACGAGCUCACCACCGACCUCCUCUCGACCCCGUGACGAUGCUGAUGCCCCUGUGAUCGACUACGUCACCGACGACCCCUCCUUCUCGCCUGAGCAACCAGGCAAGCCCCCCCUUUGAUCAUCCCGAUGACGGAGUCCAGGAGCCAGAUGACACCUUUGACGACUGCUACUACACCAAGGGCGUCUGCUACCACGUGACGGAGACCGCCGAUGACCAGGUGUAGUUAGGAGGCUCCCAGGCAGGAGGCCUUGCCUUUUCGAUCAUAGAUGCUUUUGUGCUAGCCUUCUUAAGGCAAACUUGUUUAACUUAUGUCUGUACUCAGAUAUUGUUGCUUCCGCUGACUCGUUUGUAUUCAAGCUGAUGUAUUCGAGCCCUCGAGGCCCCUGGCUUGUAAUAUAAAGCUUGUAUUAUUUUAAUUUG